AACACGGACAGCCAGAUCGCCCACCCCUGGGUAACUAAGUCUGAAUUUCUAGGACUGGCGCCUGAGGGAACGUAUUUUUUGAGCGUUCACCAGGCAAUUAUAUGUAGCUCCGUGAACUGCCACUGCCUCCUGAUUCGGUAGUAUGGACAGUAGUGUCUUAGCUGGAGGGUUCGCUCUAAGCUUUGAAGAGAGAUUCCCCUGAAAGUUGGAUAAGGUAAACGCUGUCAGGUUAAAAGAAGGGGCCUGGAGUUAAGGAGACUUGAUCGCUUGUGUUCCCAUUCUUUGCUGAGCUGAGUGCCCUUGGGAAAAUGACAGAACUCCUGAGGGCCUUUGUACUGCAUGUGAAAAUGAAGAGUAUGGACUGGCAAUUCUGGUUGGAAUAGAAAGCAUAGCCUCUUGGGAUUAUUGGUGUCCUUGCUCACUCAGUUGUAGACACAACACACUUACUGUGUGCUUGAUUUGAGUCUCUCUAAACUUCAGCUUAUUGUGUGGUAUCCUUGAAUUCCUGUGUUCAUGGACCUCAUGAACACACAUUGAGAUUGGGAGAAAAGAGGAGCAAGGACCAGCCCUGGGACGCUCCAACAUUUAAGAAUCAGGGAGAAGAGGAGGAUCCAGUUGAGGAGAAUGAGGAGGAGAAACCAAGGAGGGAGGAGAAAAAGCAAGAAAAGGGAUUUUAGGUGGAAACUAGCAAUUGAGCUCAAUGUUGUUGAAAAGUCAAGCUGGAUGUAGCCUGAAAAUUGACUACUUGCUUGAACCACAUGGGUCAUUGGUGACCUGGGCUAAAGCACUUUUGGUGGAGUAAUAAGGUUGGACUCUAAUUAUGAUGGAUUCAAGAGGAACAGAAUCUAUGUCUUAUGUUUCAUUAUGUAAAGAAAUCUCUCACUUCCUCUGUGUUUCUUCAUUUCUGCAUUUCUGCCAACCCCCUCAAUUGGGAUAAACCAAACCAGUAUCCAGAGUAUCUUUACUUCUCAGAAAGUGGGAGAAUGGGAAUAAUUAUAUGUAUUUUAGUACUUUAUCCCCAUCUCAUCCAUUGGUCUGGUCUGUAGAAUCCCUGAAACCUACCCUGUAUUUCACCUUACCACUUGGCAUGAAGGCUCCCUAAGUAGUUUUAGUGAUAGUAACAGUUUGUCUUAUCCUUUCAAUUUGAAAUGUUUGUUUUCCUGUUAUAUCAGAUGGCUGUUCAGUGAGUAUUCAAAGUACAGAAAUGAUCAGGUUCCAUUUCAAGCUAGCUGGAUAAAGAAUAUAGUUGACUGGGUUCUAGCCUUGAUUCUAAAAUAGUUGUGUGAUUCAGUGAAGGUUCUUAGCUGUAAGAAAAUCUGGGCAGGUCACUUAUGAAAAUUUAAUCUCUAAGAAGAGAAAGCCUUUAAAAUUUCCUUAGAUCCAUGAAAGUCUAUACCUUACUGCUCUCAACUCUUCACACAUUUUUUAAUCAGCUUACUCUUCCCAACUGUCUGAAGGGGUAGAUGAUAUUAUUCAUGCUUUAGAGAACAGAAUAGGAAACAGAAGCUAAGGAAGUCUAGGUGAUUUACCAUUUUUUAAAGUUGAUAAGAGAGGGAACAAUUUAGGAUUGCAGGCCAUGAAGGCAAGUGGCCUUGGUUUGAAUCAUGACUCUGUAACUUACUAGCUGUGUGACCUUGGACAGUGAUGUAAGUCCUGAGACUCAGUUCCUGUACUGCAAAAUGGGGCUAAGGCCAAUAUUAGAAUUAUGAAUUAUUGGAACAAUAUCUGCGAUAAUCCAGGUAAAGGACAUUAUGCCAAAGGGCAUAAUCCUCAUCAUGUAGUAUGUUUUUGGUAAGUGCUAAGUCAUAAUAAAAUGCACUUCCUUUAUUGGGCUUGGCACUUGGCAUCUGAGGCAAAUACCGAUUACUUGUCUAGUCUUUCAAAUCCCAUUUUUAUUUUAGAAUUCUAGUUAUGGGAUGAUAUGACAAACUGUAACUGUUUUUUUCCCCUUAGGAACAAAUUAGUAUAAGAGUAAGAGGAAUUUUAUCAUUUUCUAUCAAUUUCCAAUAUCAAAAUUGACAAAUCAAGGCAGGCCAAAUUUGAAAAUGUGCAGAGAGGAAGAUCACCACUAAAUCACCUCAUUUAUUUUCUCUCUCAAAAAUAUAUUUUUUAAAACAGCAGGAUAAAAAAAGAAAAUUGUAUUAGAAAAAGGGCUGUUACCCUACCACAUUUCCUCAGUGAUUGAUCGUAUUUUCUCCCAGGAAUUGAAGAAAAGGAGAAGAGAACAUGAGGGUUGAUUGCAUCAAAAGUGUGACACGAAUAAAAGAAUCAAGAAAUCACUUAUGUCUGCACAGAAGUCAACUAAUAAAUCAAAAGCAUGUUCUUAGCUAAGUCGAUGUUUCUUUGAAACAGCAUAUGGCGCAAUUCCAAUAUACUCUAUAUUCAGCUACCUAACAGGCUGUCUUGUUGCUUUCAACUAGUGAAAAACCUAGCAGCACAAAUGUUUAUAAGGCUGGUAAAACAUUUUAACUUUAUUUUAUGUCCUGAUUAGCUAUUACUGGACUGAUGAUUACACUGUAAAACCUAAAAUCAUAAAUGGAGAAAAUAACCUGUUGGCAGGAGUGAACACUAAUUGUUACAACGUCCUAUAUUAAAUGUGUUCAUAGUUUCUUUUUAGCAGUUAUUUUGAUGUAAAAUUUAACAAGUUUUCUUUCAUCACAUAUCAAGUCUGUAUUUUUAAAAAAAUUCUGGAUUAAAAUUUUUGCAUCAUUUUCA
Long non-coding RNA from Lutra lutra (Eurasian river otter), 2715 nucleotides. RefSeq lists it as uncharacterized. NCBI's taxonomy places the organism in Eukaryota, Metazoa, Chordata, Mammalia, Carnivora, Mustelidae. The transcript has 4 exons. The record is from RefSeq and is a predicted model, not a curated record.